CAUUUCCAAUUGCCAAACAGCGAUUUUUUUUGGAAAAUUCAGCGGUGUUGGUGAGUGCAGUAGUUUGUCUAAAAUUUUGCCCAUUUUUUCACGACUUAAAAGAAAACAAAUAGCAAAAUGACCAACGCAUGGAGAGCAGCUGGGCUUACCUACAUUCAAUACUCCAACAUCUGUGCUCGCGUUGUGCGCCAGGCACUUAAGAGCAAUCUGCGAGCCGAUGCUGCUAAGCGGAACGAGACUCAUGUUAAGUUCACUCCAUGGAGCGAUGGAAAACCAGCACAUGAGAAGUAAAAUAUCACGGAGCUAAAUAUUUGCAUACGUUAACAUAAAAAAGUAUGCGAUGUAGGCGCGCUGUUGAAGACGCGUAAGCGGCAUUUAUUCGCAACACCCAACAUCAACGCUGUCCCCUUGAGUUGUAUUUAAGGAAUUUCCGUUUCUACAUACGAUGGGAAAAGAAUAAAUAAAAAAAUAUGAGAUAUUCAUAAAAAA
Molecule: RNA transcript, 489 nt
Organism: Anastrepha ludens (Mexican fruit fly)
Lineage: Eukaryota; Metazoa; Arthropoda; Insecta; Diptera; Tephritidae
Gene: sun
Gene name: protein stunted
Exons: 5
Source: RefSeq, a predicted model, not a curated record